GGCGAACGCUGGCGGCGUGCCUAAUACAUGCAAGUAGAACGCUGAAGGAGGAGCUUGCUUCUCUGGAUGAGUUGCGAACGGGUGAGUAACGCGUAGGUAACCUGCCUGGUAGCGGGGGAUAACUAUUGGAAACGAUAGCUAAUACCGCAUAAUAGUAGAUGUUGCAUGACAUUUGCUUAAAAGGUGCAAUUGCAUCACUACCAGAUGGACCUGCGUUGUAUUAGCUAGUUGGUGAGGUAACGGCUCACCAAGGCGACGAUACAUAGCCGACCUGAGAGGGUGAUCGGCCACACUGGGACUGAGACACGGCCCAGACUCCUACGGGAGGCAGCAGUAGGGAAUCUUCGGCAAUGGACGGAAGUCUGACCGAGCAACGCCGCGUGAGUGAAGAAGGUUUUCGGAUCGUAAAGCUCUGUUGUAAGAGAAGGACGAGUGUGAGAGUGGAAAGUUCACACUGUGACGGUAUCUUACCAGAAAGGGACGGCUAACUACGUG
RNAcentral lists this ribosomal RNA (495 nucleotides) under uncultured bacterium. Its description in RNAcentral is "partial 16S ribosomal RNA". It matches the Rfam family "Bacterial small subunit ribosomal RNA", at positions 28 to 507 of the family's 1533-position model. The record is from RNAcentral.